RNAcentral lists this long non-coding RNA (1103 nucleotides) under Anser brachyrhynchus (Pink-footed goose). RNAcentral's name for it is "lncRNA (ENSABRG00000015112.1)". Lineage: Eukaryota; Metazoa; Chordata; Aves; Anseriformes; Anatidae. The record is from RNAcentral.
GGAAUAGAGAAAACAUGCAGGCAUGUGUCCAUGGACAAAGAAGAAGAGAAGACAUCUUGGUUGAGAGCUACAUGGUGAAAUGGUGGCAAUAUGGGAGAAAUUGCCAUGUUGUAACUAGGCCUUAACAGAAAAAGCCUAUACAAUGGUUUGUCUUCUAAUUUUUUUAAAAACUGCUUUGUAAAACAGAUGAAAUUCUUUUUUUUUACAACCUUGCUUCCUGUUAAGGCUGUGGGCUAUGUCACUACCAGUUCACAUACCAAACAUAUACAUAUGUUUACGUAUGAGCCAUAUUUGUACCACCUUUUCAGGUUUCAUCCCUAUCUUGUUCUAUGGAUUUUUUCCCCUGAGGAUGAACACAGCAGAUGGCAGAGACCACGGAGAAGAUGGAGUCUGUCUCCAAAGAAAGGUGUUCAAACAGGGUCAGCAACCUGAGUACUUCAAAAGCACAUGGAAGUCCUGCAGCAUGAGCUUUCUCCCAGAAAGCUAGUGCAAGAGUGGGUGGUUUUAUGAAAAUUGCUUGAAUGCGGGACUGGUCUUCAGAAAAGAAUUCUGCAAAAUGCCUGGUGGACAUGUAGACAAUAGGGGAGUGUCUGCAAUAACAAUGGAAAGCACUUUCCCUAAUGGGAAACAUCCUCAUCAUUCAUAACAUAUCCUUGCGCUAUGUGGUUCUUCGGGUGUUGAAAUGUAGGGUGGAUCCAAAACCCUGAGUGCAGCUGAUCCAAGUUAUCUAAUUGCUGCUAAUGUUUUUCUCGUUGGUGGGCACAGGAAACUUGUGUAAUGAAAAACAACAUUAAAAUAGCACUAGGAUUCUGUCUUACAGCACCAAGAGAAAAGAGGCACUAGUCUUCCUGCAUUAAGGAUGCCAGCCACUCCAGCUCCCCAGCCAGCUCUCUUUGAACAUUUUGUACAGUAUCUGCAACAAUACUAACGAAUGCAAUUAGGAUGAAUCACGUAACAAGGAUGAAUCAAGGGUACAAAGGGGAUCUGGCUGCUCAACAGAAAUCUAAAACUAAAACCACCCACUACAUCCCUUUCAGAGCAAGAAUGGUUUGACCGGAAUGCGCUUCAAUAAAGUAUUUUUCUGUUCUUUAGCCUAACGCUGU